CCCUAGGCUGUGCAAACUCCAGUUUGAGGAUCUCAGAGGAAAUGAAAGUUUACAGAAACCUUGGAGGUCACCUGGAAGCACCCUUGGUUUUACAGAUGUGAAAACUGAGAACCCAGAUCACACUCCAAUAAAUGACAGAGCCAGCUGAAAAAGGGUAAAUACAUAUGUCAUCCCUACUGCCGGGACCUGGUACAUCUGGAUUAUCCACAAAAUGGGAAAUUACUGACCUGCCCGCCCACGUGUGAAGUAAGGCUUUCAAGCCAAAAGCACACUCAGGUGGCCUCCCUGUGCACCUUCACAGGCUCAUGUUCUCUCUUGGCCAUUACUCCGUUCCUUGGGGCCUGUCACAUUGGAGCUCCACUGUGCUGUGCGUUGUGACUUUGUAGACAACACAGUAGAAUGCGCGGAUGGUUAACCCAACAGAUCUGGGAUCAGAUGCAAGCCUUUGAUCCGUAUGACUACAUGUCCCCGUGCAGGCUGUGGUCUUGGUGACAGAUGUACUCAGCGCUGCUGAAAAUCAGAUGUGAAAUGUGAAUGUGUGUGUUGGUUGUCUUUUCGUCUGAUAAAGAACCUCAGCAUGAACACCCUGCUAGGGAAUCCAUCAUUUUUCACUGGUUCCAUUAAAAUGAGGCCCUCCAACUAGUAGGUUGUUACCGACUUCCAACAUGUCCUCAGCCUGGUUCUUGGUAGCACGCCUGUCUUUAUGGGGUUCCUGGUUCGCUGAAGUUUUCAGAAAGAAAGGGGUACAAAUGGUGGCGACGCCACUCCUCUGCAAAUUGGACUAACUCUAGCAUCUCCUCUCCUGGCACAUCAAGAGUUUUCUUUAAAAGUCAGUUGUUUUUUCCCCAAAGCUUGGGGACACUUGCAUUAAAGGAUCUUGGUCUCUUGUCAGUUUCUGGGAGCUCACUAGCAUGUCUGAACAGGAUUCCUGAAAUUAGGCAGCAAUAUUCAUCUUUCCUUCACAUGCGAAUGAAACUGAUAUUCAGUUUGGGGCCAAGACGUUGUUUUCCCCGCUGCUUCCUGACCAACACUGAGUACGAAAGGCCAGACCCAUGGAUUUGCCUGCUUGUUUUUCCCCCUAACAAAGUCAACUCUUGAUUGGAGAAGCAAUAGCUGUUGUAAAGAGUUUGUUCAGCGUGUGGUUUGCAUCUGCUGAAUUCCCAUUCAACUUAACUGCGCUGGGCAGGGGCGUGGGAAGGGAAUGGGGAAUCAGUAAAAGGCACACAGAAUAGCACAUGUGGCCAACCGAUGGCUUCAUUUUGAGUAGUAACUGAUGUGAAUUUUUCAACUGGAGUCUGUUGAAGUUCCUGCAAAGGGGGGAAAAGGUCCCCCCAGACAGGUUCCUGACAAAGAGUUACUUGGUCAAGAGCUUUAAUGGCUCCUAAUACACACAUUCAGAUCCUGUCAUGGAAAAUCUGUGCCAAUUUGCACUCUGCCCAGCAGUCCCUAAGCAGCAUAAUUUCUCCUAUAGUCUCCUGCAUAAUAUAUUCCAUUUAAAAAUUCUCUCUCUCUCUCUUUUUUUGUAAUGCUUAAUCCCUUAAGGUUUGGAAGGUGAGGUGGGGAAGUGAUUGAAUAGUUUGGUCUAUUCCAAUUUUUGAAAAAUGUAAUUAAUGGAGUUUAGGGCUCAGAGACAUUGGUGAUUUUGUGACCCCUGCCCCCUCCAAAUCCAGUCUUUCUCAGAAGGGCUCUGCAGAGGGUCUGGGCUUCAGACCCAUUGUCCUCUGAGGCUCUGACGGGGGUCUUUUCUGAAGUGGAAAGACACAGCGGGCGUGUGUGAAGUAGCCGUGAAGCGGGUGUUGUAGGAAAGCCUGCCACCACCCGUCCCUGACUGAGGUGAGGGCAGGAUCCAAGGGUGCAAGCUGUUAGAGGAAAGAUAGCAAAUUAGGAGAACAGCCCCAAGGAUUCAAAUCUCUGAGGGGUUUGACUACAUGUGAGGAGCCGUUGUUCCUCCCCCAGCUCCAGAUC
Long non-coding RNA from Artibeus jamaicensis (Jamaican fruit-eating bat), 1965 nucleotides. RefSeq lists it as uncharacterized. The transcript is spliced from 3 exons. NCBI's taxonomy places the organism in Eukaryota, Metazoa, Chordata, Mammalia, Chiroptera, Phyllostomidae. The record is from RefSeq and is a predicted model, not a curated record.